AAUCUUUAACAAGAUCCUAGAGAACAUUCCCGCAAACUAAAGAAAGGCACACCUAACACACUUAAGAAGCACAAGGAACAUUGAAUAGGUGGUGCCACAAAUGAAUAACCUCAUGUCAUAACAGUUUAAAAACUAAAUACAUAGCAAAGUUUAUUGAGCUGCAAAAGAAAAAAGAUCAGUUACAUAUAAGGGCCAACACAUCAGAUUAUGGGCCGAUUUCUCAAAGGUAACUAUGGAAACAGAAAAUCCUGGAACAGUGCAUUUCAAGUCCUAAAAGACCACGAUAGCCAACCUAAACUAAUAUACCCUGCAAGACUAAUUUUCAUAACGGAAAGAACAAAAUACACCUCUCAUUACCCUUUUACCUCCCCUGUAUUGAUUGACCUUCUCUAUUUUCUUCAUUUACAUUUCCAAUGCUAUCCCAAAAGUCCCCCAUACCCUCCCCCCCACUUCCCUACCCACCCACUCCCACUUCUUGGCCCUGGUGUUCCCCUGUACUGAGGCAUAUAAAGUUUGCAAGACCGAUGGGCAUCAAAUCUUUAACAAGAUCCUAGAGAUCUUGUCCCCAUCCAUCAAUACAUAUCUAUUCUAUUUCCCUUUCCUAGGCAGGUCUAUCUUCUCUGCUGCUUCUAUACUUAACUUCUGUAGAGUCUAGCUUGCUUAUUCUUGAUUUUUAGCAGCUAAUAUUCACCGAAAGAAUAUGGUACUAUAUUUGUCUUUCGAGAUACCAGUCAUGAUAUUUCUUCUAGUUCUACCCAUUUACUGAUGUUUUCAUAAUUUAAUUUUAAUGGUGAAAUAAUAUUUUACUGUGUAAUGCAUGGCAUUUUCUUUAUCUAUUCAUAUUUUUAGGGACUUUAGGGUUAUUUCCAUUGUCCAGUUAUUGUGAAUGAACCAACAAAGUGUUUGAGCAAGUCUCCUUGUGGAAUGAUGAAGCUCAAAUGCCCCUUGAAUAUAUGCCCACGAGGGGUAGAGCUGAAUGUUCAGGUUGAUUGAUCCUCAUCUUCCUGAGGAACAUCCAUAUUGAUUUCUAUAGUGAUUGUAUAAGUUUUACCUGUGACAAACAAUGGAUAAGUGUUUUCCUUGCUCUACAUCCUCACCAAUAUGAGCUGUCACAUGCUUUAUUAAUCUAAAUCAUUAUUUGUAGAAUAAAUUGAAAUAGUUUUUAUUUUCAUUUCCUGAUGACUAAGGAUGUUCAACAUUUUUAUAUGUGUUUCUCAAUGAUUUCAGGUUUCACUUUUGUGUAUGUUUAUAACUGUUCCUCACUUUUAACUGGUUUAUUUGGGUCUGUUUGCCAUAUAGUAUUUUGCAUUAUUUAUUUAUUUUGUACAUUUGCUUUUUAUUGGAUGUGGUAUUGGUUAAAAAAAAAUCUUCUCCCGUUCUUUAGGCUUCCACUUUGUCUGAAUAAUGGGAUAUUUUGCCAUAUACAUUUAGAGUUUAUCAAAUAUUGAUCUUAGGCACUUUAUUAAUGGUGUUUUGCUAAGAAAGCCUUUUCCUGUACCAAUGAUUUCAAGGCUAUUGCCUACUUUCUCUUUCGCAGGUUCAGUGUAUCUGGUUUUAUAUUGAGUUCUUUAAUUUACUUGAAUUGGAGUUUUGUGCAGAGUGAUAGAUAAAUAUGUAUGUCUUUGUAUUCUUCUACUUGCAGAUAUGUAGUUUUACCAGCACCAUUUGUUGAAGAUGUAGUCUUAUUUCUAGUCUGUAUUUCUGGAUAUUUUAUCAGAAAUUAGGUGUUUGCAGAUACAUAUAUGCAUGUCUGGGUUUUCAAUUUGAUUCCAAUGAUCAAUGUGUUGUUUCUGUGCCAAUACCAUACUGUUUUUAAAUUCUAUAUUUUUGUAGUAUAAAUUCUAAUUACUGAGAGUGAUAACUACCACAGUUGUUUUAUUAUUCAGGAUUGCUUUAGUUGACCUGGGUUUUGUGUUUCCAUAUGAGUCUGAAACUUGUUCUUUCAAAAUCUGUGAAGAAUAGUGUUGAAAUUUUGAUGGAUAUACUACUGAAUCUGUAGAGUCAUUCUUUAGAUGGCAAUUUUGAUUAUAUUAAUGCUCCUGAUCCGUGAGCAUGGAAGAUCUUUGCAUCUUUUAAUACUUUCUAAGUAUCUUAAAAUACUUAUAUGCUUGAUUAGAGAUACCCCAAGAUAUUUUAUAUUGUUUGAAGUCAUCAAAAAGUGAAUUCCCCUGAAUUUCUUCUCUGUCCAUUUGUCAUUAAAUAUAGGAGGGCUACUGAUUUUUGUAACUUAAUUUUGUAUUCAGCUAUUUUUGCUGCAAGUGGUAGCAGUUGUAGGAGUUUCUUAGUGUAACUUUUGGGGUCACUUAUAUAUAAUAUACAUAUGCAUUUAAUGAUAUAUUUACUUUUUUCCAAUUUAUAUCCUCAUUGACUUCUUUCAGUUGUUUUAUUGCUCUAGCUAGGACUUCAAGUUCUAUGUUGUUUACACAGGGAGAGAACUGAACCCUUGUGUUAUUCCUAAUUUUAGUGGGAUUAUCUGGAGUUUCUUUCUUUUCCUAUUAAUGUUUGGUAUGUUCGUGCUUUAAACUGACCUUGUGUCCCUAAUGUCCUUUUUCAUAAAUAUUAAUGGACUUAAUUUGCCAAUUAAAAGGCACAGAGUGACUAAAUGGAUGAAGAAACAAAAUCUCUUUACCUAUUGUCACUAGAACCACCAACAAAUAGAAAAAAAUACCACAAUAAAAGAGGACCUGGAAGGAGGUAGACAUCACUAUCCUCAUAUGUGACAAAUGUGCUUUAAACUAAAAAAAAACCCAUUAGAUGAGAUAAAGAGGAGCACUUCAUCCUAAUCAAGGGAAUAGUUAACCAAUAAUUAAGUACUAUCCUAAAUUUAUGUACAUAAAACUCUUGUGCAUUAAAUUUAAUUUUUAAAAUGUAUUACUGUAUUUAAUGAUACCCAUUAGUGUAAAACAUUAAUAGUGAGUGUUUUCAUUAUCCCAUUUUUUUCCAAAUGAGCUUGUAAUCUGUAUAGAAAAUAAAUCAAAAAUCAGAAACACAUGCCAUCAUACAUCAAAAAGACUUUAGAUGUAUCUUCAAAAUAUCAUACCUAAACACCAAAGAAUAGAUUGUAUUCUCAGAAAAACAAGCAAUGUCUCUAAAAUUUUCACCAUCUUUGUAUAUAAAACAAAUUAUAAUAAAUUCAAAGAUAUUAAUAUGUUUGUUUCCUAUCUAACCAUAAUACAAUGAAACAGAAAAUUGCCAGCAAUCAAAUCUUCAGUAAAUUCAUAAACUCACGAAGUUUCAACCACUAAUUCAUUAAUGAUGAAAGCAUGAAAGAAUAAAUC
Molecule: long non-coding RNA, 3278 nt
Filed under: Mus musculus (house mouse)
Lineage: Eukaryota; Metazoa; Chordata; Mammalia; Rodentia; Muridae
Description: long non-coding RNA chr7:94287508-94290786
Source: RNAcentral